GAGGUUGUGGCUUAGUGAUAGAGCGCUUGCCUAGCAUGCAUGAACUGCUGGGUUCCAUCCUCAGCACCACA
RNAcentral lists this transfer RNA (71 nucleotides) under Marmota monax (woodchuck). Its description in RNAcentral is "tRNA.Ala". The stretch from base 1 to 63 matches the Rfam family "tRNA". From Rfam's summary of the family: Transfer RNA (tRNA) molecules are approximately 80 nucleotides in length. Their secondary structure includes four short double-helical elements and three loops (D, anti-codon, and T loops). Lineage: Eukaryota; Metazoa; Chordata; Mammalia; Rodentia; Sciuridae. The record is from RNAcentral.